AUUGAACGCUGGCGGCAGGCCUAACACAUGCAAGUCGAGCGGUAACAGAUCUAGCUUGCUAGAUGCUGACGAGCGGCGGACGGGUGAGUAACGCGUAGGAAUCUACCCAGUAGAGGGGGAUAGCCCGGGGAAACUCGGAUUAAUACCGCAUAAUCUCUAAGGAUAAAGGGGGCUUCGGCUCUCGCUAUUGGAUGAGCCUGCGUGGGAUUAGCUAGUUGGUGAGGUAAAGGCUCACCAAGGCGACGAUCUCUAACUGGUCUGAGAGGAUGAUCAGUCACACUGGAACUGAGACACGGUCCAGACUCCUACGGGAGGCAGCAGUGGGGAAUAUUGCACAAUGGGCGCAAGCCUGAUGCAGCCAUGCCGCGUGUGUGAAGAAGGCCUUCGGGUUGUAAAGCACUUUCAGUGGGGAGGAAGGCCAAGUAGUUAAUACCUGCUUGGAUUGACGUUACCCACAGAAGAAGCACCGGCUAACUCCGUG
This 481-nucleotide ribosomal RNA is filed under the name uncultured bacterium. Its description in RNAcentral is "bacterial SSU rRNA". It matches the Rfam family "Bacterial small subunit ribosomal RNA", at positions 30 to 507 of the family's 1533-position model. The record is from RNAcentral.